AUUGAACGCUGGCGGCAGGCCUAACACAUGCAAGUCGAGCGGAUGAAGGGAGCUUGCUCCUGGAUUCAGCGGCGGACGGGUGAGUAAUGCCUAGGAAUCUGCCCGGUAGUGGGGGAUAACGUCCGGAAACGGGCGCUAAUACCGCAUACGUCCUGAGGGAGAAAGUGGGGGAUCUUCGGACCUCACGCUAUCAGAUGAGCCUAGGUCGGAUUAGCUAGUUGGUGGGGUAAAGGCCUACCAAGGCGACGAUCCGUAACUGGUCUGAGAGGAUGAUCAGUCACACUGGAACUGAGACACGGUCCAGACUCCUACGGGAGGCAGCAGUGGGGAAUAUUGGACAAAGGGCGAAAGCCUGAUCCAGCCAUGCCGCGUGUGUGAAGAAGGUCUUCGGAUUGUAAAGCACUUUAAGUUGGGGGGAAGGGCAGUAAGUUAAUACCUUGCUGUUUUGACGUUACCAACAGAAUAAGCACCGGCUAACUUCGUG
This 484-nucleotide ribosomal RNA is filed under the name uncultured bacterium. RNAcentral describes it as "partial 16S ribosomal RNA". It matches the Rfam family "Bacterial small subunit ribosomal RNA", at positions 30 to 507 of the family's 1533-position model. The record is from RNAcentral.